Molecule: ribosomal RNA, 553 nt
Filed under: Priestia flexa
Lineage: Bacteria; Bacillati; Bacillota; Bacilli; Caryophanales; Bacillaceae
Description: bacterial SSU rRNA
Rfam family: Bacterial small subunit ribosomal RNA
Source: RNAcentral
CUUCUAUGACGUUAGCGGCGGACGGGUGAGUAACACGUGGGCAACCUGCCUGUAAGACUGGGAUAACUCCGGGAAACCGGAGCUAAUACCGGAUAACAUUUUCUCUUGCAUAAGAGAAAAUUGAAAGAUGGUUUCGGCUAUCACUUACAGAUGGGCCCGCGGUGCAUUAGCUAGUUGGUGAGGUAACGGCUCACCAAGGCAACGAUGCAUAGCCGACCUGAGAGGGUGAUCGGCCACACUGGGACUGAGACACGGCCCAGACUCCUACGGGAGGCAGCAGUAGGGAAUCUUCCGCAAUGGACGAAAGUCUGACGGAGCAACGCCGCGUGAGUGAUGAAGGCUUUCGGGUCGUAAAACUCUGUUGUUAGGGAAGAACAAGUACAAGAGUAACUGCUUGUACCUUGACGGUACCUAACCAGAAAGCCACGGCUAACUACGUGCCAGCAGCCGCGGUAAUACGUAGGUGGCAAGCGUUAUCCGGAAUUAUUGGGCGUAAAGCGCGCGCAGGCGGUUUCUUAAGUCUGAUGUGAAAGCCCACGGCUCAACCGUGGAG